UUCGGCGGCCAUAGCGUGAGGGAAACGCCCGGUUACAUUCCGAACCCGGAAGCUAAGCCUCACAGCGCCGAUGGUACUGCAGGGGGGACCCUGUGGGAGAGUAGGACACCGCCGGACUUCUUUUCAGUGAAAUGGCCACCCAACGUUGGGUGGCCAUUU
Molecule: ribosomal RNA, 159 nt
Filed under: Microbacterium sp. AG1240
Lineage: Bacteria; Bacillati; Actinomycetota; Actinomycetes; Micrococcales; Microbacteriaceae
Source: RNAcentral